AUUGAACGCUGGCGGCAUGCUUUACACAUGCAAGUCGAACGGCAGCGCGGGCUUCGGCCUGGCGGCGAGUGGCGAACGGGUGAGUAAUACGUCGGAACGUGCCCAGUAGUGGGGGAUAGCUCGGCGAAAGCCGGAUUAAUACCGCAUACGACCUGAGGGUGAAAGCGGGGGAUCUUCGGACCUCGCGCUAUUGGAGCGGCCGAUGGCAGAUUAGCUAGUUGGUGGGGUAAGGGCCUACCAAGGCGACGAUCUGUAGCUGGUCUGAGAGGACGACCAGCCACACUGGGACUGAGACACGGCCCAGACUCCUACGGGAGGCAGCAGUGGGGAAUUUUGGACAAUGGGCGAAAGCCUGAUCCAGCAAUGCCGCGUGUGUGAUGAAGGCCUUCGGGUUGUAAAGCACUUUUGGCGGGAACGAAAAGGACUGUGCCAAUACCACGGUUCGAUGACGGUACCCGCAGAAUAAGCACCGGCUAACUACGUG
This 484-nucleotide ribosomal RNA is filed under the name uncultured bacterium. RNAcentral's name for it is "partial 16S ribosomal RNA". It matches the Rfam family "Bacterial small subunit ribosomal RNA", at positions 29 to 507 of the family's 1533-position model. The record is from RNAcentral.